Molecule: ribosomal RNA, 521 nt
Filed under: uncultured bacterium
Lineage: Bacteria
Description: bacterial SSU rRNA
Rfam family: Bacterial small subunit ribosomal RNA
Source: RNAcentral
AGAGUUUGAUCCUGGCUCAGAUUGAACGCUGGCGGAAUGCUUUACACAUGCAAGUCGAACGGCAGCACGGACUUCGGUCUGGUGGCGAGUGGCGAACGGGUGAGUAAUACAUCGGAACGUGCCCAGUCGUGGGGGAUAACGUAGCGAAAGUUACGCUAAUACCGCAUACGAUCUACGGAUGAAAGCGGGGGACCGUAAGGCCUCGCGCGAUUGGAGCGGCCGAUGUCAGAUUAGGUAGUUGGUGAGGUAAAGGCUCACCAAGCCGACGAUCUGUAGCUGGUCUGAGAGGACGACCAGCCACACUGGGACUGAGACACGGCCCAGACUCCUACGGGAGGCAGCAGUGGGGAAUUUUGGACAAUGGGCGCAAGCCUGAUCCAGCCAUUCCGCGUGCAGGACGAAGGCCUUCGGGUUGUAAACUGCUUUUGUACAGAACGAAAAGCCUUGGGUUAAUACCCUGAGGUCAUGACGGUACUGUAAGAAUAAGCACCGGCUAACUACGUGCCAGCAGCCGCGGUAAU